This 980-nucleotide long non-coding RNA is filed under the name Equus caballus (horse). RNAcentral describes it as "lncRNA (ENSECAG00000046897.1)". Lineage: Eukaryota; Metazoa; Chordata; Mammalia; Perissodactyla; Equidae. The record is from RNAcentral.
GUCUGUGCUGCUGGGGGCGCUUUGCCCACAGCUCCUCUCAGGUUCUGCCAGUAGGGGAGCUGCUGGGAGGCUGCAAAGCUGGAGAAAGGAGGUGGAAGAAGGGACCGGCUUCUUCCUGCCUGUUUCCUGCUCCUGUGAGUGACCCCAGCCAUGCUUCUCCACCUGGCAGUGGCAGUUCCAUCCCACAGCCCCUGCUGAGUCCAGUUGGCAGUUUCCUAACAUUGGACGCCAUGACUCUGGAAAUGAUCCUGCAUGGUCUCCUAUUUGCCGCAAAUACACCUUACUUUGUGAGACAACUGCUUCUGGCGGAGAGUCUGAUUUAACUCACCUGGAGGGAACCCACUUCGGUUUCAGUAAGAAUACCAGCAACUGACCCUCAGCAGUGGAUUCCAGUACUGGCUGAGUUUCAGGUAGAAGAGUGUUCAGACAGAAGGGGCGGAAUGCGAAGAGCAGUGAACACCCUGAGGAGGGUCCAGCGCCUGGUGGGACCUUGCAGCUCCUCGGGUUGGGAGAGGGUGAGGCCGCCUGGCUCUUGUAGGAAAGGUAGUUGCACCUUGUAGGCAGAAAUGUAGAAUUGGGCUUUUUGUUUUGCUUUUCUUAUAUGGAAGUUCAAACGUCUGUAGAAAUGUAUGAAUGGAAGCUGAGUAAACAAACAGGAGGAUGGUGCCAGUUAUGACGUUGCUGCCUGUCAUCCGAAACCUUUUACACUAAACACAGAUCUACACAUCCUGCAUAUUCUGCUUUGUGAGGCAGGGCCCCGGACUCGGCAAACCUCACCUUCCCCUUGCCAGCAUCUCUGAGGGAGCCCGGGGGCAGGGGUGCUGGAGGGGAGCUGGAGGAGGCAGAGGGAGCUGGCGCCCUCCUUGCACCUCCUGCCGGCUGCCUGUCAGUUUGCAGUUCCCUCAAGAAUCAUUCUUCACGUUUUUUCCUGAAGCAGCCGCUCAAUCCGUUCUAUAGUUUUUCCAACAAGUGCAAAAUCC